CUUGUACACACCGCCCGUCACACCAUGGGAGCGGGUUCUGCCAGAAGUAGUUAGCCUAACCGCAAGGAGGGCGAUUACCACGGCAGGGUUCGAGACUGGGGUG
RNAcentral lists this ribosomal RNA (103 nucleotides) under uncultured bacterium. Its description in RNAcentral is "partial 16S ribosomal RNA". It matches the Rfam family "Bacterial small subunit ribosomal RNA", at positions 1380 to 1482 of the family's 1533-position model. The record is from RNAcentral.